UUCAUGACAGAGUGGGAGAACUACCGGGACACGCUGCAGACUCAGGUCCUGCAGGCGGCGGGGGGGCAGCUCGGCUCCGUGAAGUUCGGGUCCCCCCUCCCGGAGGAGAACCUGGGAAACUUCCAGGACGACCAGAUCGGACAACUGUACGAACUCAUGCUGGAGUCCACCAAAUCCUCCCGGCAGUUCAACAUCCAGGAGGACGGGAAGUGAAGCAGCUCUGAUGGACCCACACUCCCUCUGAUGGAGAGCUGCUCUACGGCAGAGGAGUGGCUGUUCAGAACCUGUGAUUACAUUAAAGAUCUGGGUCAGAACUCCGUGGUGCUCUGCUUGUUCUUUUCCUGGGGGAAUACAAACGCUCCGUCACAGGUGCACUAAGAGCACUGAGUGUGGCAGCGAGGUGUUCCUGCUGCAGGAUUCAAGUCUUACUCGUUAUCCAGGGAUUCAAAGGAUUCAUCAUCAUAAGCACAGCGUGGAUACGGCUCCUCCAACAAGGCCUCCGUAAUAUAUAGAAGAUAUGAAACCAUGAGACUGAGAACAGAGCAGAGCACAGUGUGCUACAACCACGCUAAUAGCACACCGACAAGGGGGGGUUAGGGGGGUUAGGGGGGUACUCAGAGUCAAAGUCCACUUUAUUGUCAACAUUUCCACAUGUGUUAUACAUACAGAAAACUGAAAUACCGUUUCUUGCAGUGUAAAAAAUAUAUAAACAUGAAAGACAAGGGGUACAAAAAACUAAGUAAUAUAUAUAUAUAUAUAUCACACACAAUUUGGGUCUGAUACUGAGUAAAAGUAGAAGUACUCAGGUCUUGUACUUGAGUAAAGUAGAAGUACUCAGGUCUUGUACUUGAGUAAAGUAGAAGUACCAGAGUGUAGGAAUACUCUGUCACAGUGAAAGUAUUCUAAAUGUUCCUCCAGUGAAAGUAGAAAGUACUCUCCUCUAAAUGUACUUAAAGUAGCGACAGUAAAAGUAGUCAUUGUCUGAUUGGUCCAUUUCAGAAUAAUAUCUCUGAUAUGUUUUAUAAUGAUUGAUCCUUAAAGUGUUCUCAGAGCUGGUAAAGGUGCAGCUAGUUUGAAUGGCUUUGUAUACUGCAGGGUAGCUGCUGGAUUUACUGCAGGUGAACUACAGUCUGAUUUAAGGGAUUAUAUUUACCAUCAGUAAUCCUAAUCUGCCUAGCAACUAAAGGGAUCAAAUACAUGUAGUGGAGUAAAAGUACGCAGUAGGAAAAGGAGCUGAAAAUUGUACAUGUGUAAAGUACUUGAGUAUUUGAGUAAAUGUACUUACCGUAAUUUCCGGACUAUGGAGCGCACCUGAAUAUAAGCAGCACCAACUCAAUUUUAAAAGGAAACAGCUUCGUACAUAAAUAGGCCCCAACUGUCUGUAAGCUGCAGGUGUCCAGGUGUUGUAACAUGACACAUUCACACAGAAAGGGUUUUAAUAUUUUUAACUACCGCUUUUUCCCAAACAGUGUCUGAGCAGAACAGCCUCAGAAGGGCUUCAUCACACACUGCCUGUAACACGGCAGUGAAACAGCAGUAAGACAGCUUCCCAGAAAAGUCAUUCAUCGUUAUCUUAAUUUCCCCUUUGCGCGCUAAAACCAUUAAAGUCGUCUUCUUCAGAGUCUGAGCAGAACAGCCUCAGAAGGGCUUCAUCACACACUUUCUCAGUCUCUCUUUCGUUGUCGCUCUCAAUGUCACUGUCGUCUCUCGGCGCACUUGUGCUGUCCUCUUCAUCACGCAGCAGUCCAGCCUUUGGAAACCCGCUGGUGAUGGUGGAUGUUUUUCACACUGCUCCCCGCUGUUAUAUGCAUAUGCAUUUCUUCGUGUGUUUUCCAUAAUGGGGGUGUGUGCAUGAUGUGCAAAAUGGCUGUUGAAAACAAUCAAACUAUGGUAGCGUCUUCCUCGGCGUAUUAUCUCUUCCACCUGUCUGUCUCGCUUUUGCGCUUCCUGCUAGAGCGCCCCCUGGUGGCCGUCAGCUCGUGCAAAUCUAUAGAUUAGCCGCAUCAUUGUUUAGGCUGCAGGGUUCAAAGCGCGUGAGAAAAGUAGCGGCUUAUAGUCCGGAAGUUACGGUAGUUACUUUACACCACUGCCAAAAUAUAACACACUGAAAUAAAUGUAUGGAAAUGCAAAGUUGGAGAGGAUCUGGAGAAACAGCAGCCAUCCACAAGAUCUUACUUCACUUGAGGUUCGAGCUGAGAAAGUCUUGAGUUUCUGGAUGUUUCUAGAGUCUGCUCACGGCCGUGGCCCCCCCGCUGAGUCCAGACAUUACAAUCGAUUGUAAUGGCGAUCACAAUGCAUGGAGGGUUGGUUCCAGACGCUCCUCUGAACCCCCCACUGACGGCUCGGUUCUGACAGACUGUUUCAUCAUUCCUGGAGAACCCCUCCUCCUGUGGACCAAUCAGAAGCAGGUAUGAUGCUGCCUUACGGCUGUAUCAGUGAGGGUCUUCUCUCUGUUGCAGCCCUUUUGUUUUAAUCUGGUUGACAGUUUUAGACAGUUUAGUCUGCUUUUUCCUGCAGACUCACCAGAGCCUCCUUCAGACACGCAUCCUGUGACAUAGUUCCCGUGUUAGUCUCACGUGUGGGUGAGUUUUAUGUCAUUCGGAUAAAAAAGCUAAAAUGCAUUAGCUUUGCUCUACCGUUAGCAUAUGGCUCGAUGUAGUGAUAUAAAAGCUUUAAUCAGUAGUUAUUAUAUACCGUAUGUCCUGGUAGGGUAUGUAAAUCCCCUCCUAACAGCCACUGAGUCUUAAUGAAACGAUGAAUAUGAGCUGAGGGUUGAUUGAUUGAGGGAUGAUGAGCGAGCUGCUGCUCUCUAAUUGGUUUACACGACCUCCUUCACUCCCAAUGAGCAGGCAGAAGAACCCUGCAAACAGUUCAUCACGCUGGGUAAAGACAAGUGUUUGCCCAGGUAUAUGUCGCUGUGAGGAAGGAUUAUAACAGCCGUCUGGACUGAAGAGCUGCACAGGUUUCAGAGGAUGAGAAGACUGAUAGAUGCUUCAACGUUUAGGGUUAGAUAACAGACUGAAGUGUGUGUUGCAAACAUCCAUAGUCCCCCAGGAUGAUCCUCAGCGUUCUCCGUCUAGUGCCUCCAUGAGGAGAGAAUAUCAGUCUUUCCACCAGAUAUCUGCAACGCUACGGUCACACCAGCUGUUAGGAUGCUAAUGCUAACAUGCAUUUAGCUCAAAUUAGCAGCUUUGUGAGGCUGGAAAGACUACACACUUUAGAUUACAGUAUAUUAGAUUUAGAAUGUGAGGGGAUAAAACUAAUGCACUAAUGACAAUAAUUAUAGGAUUAAUCAAGAGGAAUCCAGGUUUAUAAAACUAGUAUUUCUUUGUAUUUAUCGGGAGAAAUGCAUGACUAACUUUCCAAGCCUGAUCGGAAGCCUCGAGGGUUCAUACUGUGAUUGGUGAUUGUUAGUGAUUUGAGCCUUUGCAGACCAUUUACAUGCACUAACAGCUGCCCUACAGGAGAGGGACCACCACACGAAGCAGAACAGGGCCUCUUAAGGGUUGCUACAAUACUCAGUGUGGUCCUGCAUUCAAUCGUACACCAAGGGAUGGAAAGGAUCCCGAUUGAUUCAGCAGGAGCAGAGAUGGAGUGAUCAAACAGCGUCACACUCCGCUCUGCAUCAAAGAGGGGACAGCUGUCACAGCGGGGGGUCCAACACGAGCAGAGGGUCAGUGCACACGGAGACAAAGCACAUCACCUGUCUGAGUGACAGGCGAGAGAACAACAACCUG
Molecule: long non-coding RNA, 3737 nt
Organism: Eleginops maclovinus (Patagonian blennie)
Lineage: Eukaryota; Metazoa; Chordata; Actinopteri; Perciformes; Eleginopidae
Exons: 3
Source: RefSeq, a predicted model, not a curated record